UGUUCAAACUUGCAUGUAUAAUUCGGUCUAAUAUGUGGGGGGACAUUCUAAUUUACCAAUCGAUAGGAUUGUCGAAAAUAUUUCCAAGAGAGAUAGAGAGAGAGAGAGAUGAGGAUGUUUGGGAAGUAUGUAUAUCCAAGGCAAAUCAUGGUUUUCGCUUCCGGGGUUUUAUUCUUGGCCGCAACAACGUACGAUGU
Molecule: long non-coding RNA, 197 nt
Organism: Sesamum indicum (sesame)
Lineage: Eukaryota; Viridiplantae; Streptophyta; Magnoliopsida; Lamiales; Pedaliaceae
Source: RefSeq, a predicted model, not a curated record